This is a small nucleolar RNA of Phragmites australis (common reed), 101 nucleotides long. RefSeq annotates it as small nucleolar RNA snoR99. The record is from RefSeq and is a predicted model, not a curated record. NCBI's taxonomy places the organism in Eukaryota, Viridiplantae, Streptophyta, Magnoliopsida, Poales, Poaceae. The transcript has a single exon.
GUGCCCGUGGGAUGAAUAGGUCCCAACAUUUACUUCCAUUUACUUCAAUUUGUCAGCUAAGAUACAUAGUUCUUUAGCUGUUCAUUAAGAAUGGGAAACAA